UACAGAGGUGGCAAGCGUUGUUCGGAAUUCCUGGGCGUAAAGGGCGCGUAGGCGGCUUGGUCAGUCCCGUGUGAAAUCCCUCGGCUCAACUGAGGAACUGCACGGGAAACUGCCUGGCUUGAGUUCGGGAGAGGGAAGCGGAAUUCCGGGUGUAGCGGUGAAAUGCGUAGAUAUCCGGAGGAACACCGGUGGCGAAGGCGGCUUCCUGGACCGACACUGACGCUGAGGCGCGAAAGCUAGGGGAGCAAACGGG
RNAcentral lists this ribosomal RNA (253 nucleotides) under uncultured bacterium. Its description in RNAcentral is "partial 16S ribosomal RNA". It matches the Rfam family "Bacterial small subunit ribosomal RNA", at positions 524 to 776 of the family's 1533-position model. The record is from RNAcentral.